This 672-nucleotide small RNA is filed under the name Pongo abelii (Sumatran orangutan). RNAcentral's name for it is "retained intron". The record is from RNAcentral. Lineage: Eukaryota; Metazoa; Chordata; Mammalia; Primates; Hominidae.
AGGCCCGGGAGCCGGGAGGCUGCGGGUGGCGGCGCUGGACCCGACGCGGCGAGAGAGGCCCCGAGAUGCCGAGCAAGAAGAAGAAGUACAACGCGCGGUUUCCGCCGGCGCGGAUCAAGAAGAUCAUGCAGACAGACGAAGAGAUUGGGAAGGUGGCGGCGGCGGUGCCUGUCAUCAUCUGUAUCCUGCCGGGGGCGGACCGGGUCCAGGGGCGUGGGGGAGGGAGGCAGCGGGUCGCCCUCUCCCGCCCCGGAGUUCUCCUUGACGCCCCUCAGCCCGGGCGCUCGAGCUCUUCCUAGAGUCGCUGUUGAAGAAGGCCUGCCAGGUGACCCAGUCGCGGAACGCGAAGACCAUGACCACAUCCCACCUGAAGCAGUGCAUCGAGCUGGAGCAGCAGUUUGACUUCUUGAAGGACCUGGUGGCAUCUGUUCCCGACAUGCAGGGGGACGGGGAGGACAACCACAUGGAUGGGGACAAGGGCGCCCGCAGGGGCCGGAAGCCAGGCAGCGGCGGCCGGAAGAAUGGUGGGAUGGGAACGAAAAGCAAAGACAAGAAGCUGUCCGGGACAGACUCGGAGCAGGAGGAUGAAUCUGAGGACACAGAUACUGAUGGGGAAGAGGAGACAUCACAACCCCCACCCCAGGCCAGCCACCCUCCUGCCCACUUUCAGAG